UCUACGAGCAUUUCCCUCUUGUGCGGACUCACAAAGCUUUGGAAGAAAUACACCUUCUCCAGCGGCGAGAUUGAAGUAAAGAUCAACGAUGUUGGGGCAGCUAUCGUAGCACUGAGGAGAGCAGAGCUGCUGUGUGAAGCGAGACUCAAGGAGAGAAUCUGAUGAGAUUCCCAGUGAUUUUCUAUCGAGACCACAUGCUUUUAUGCAUUGGUCAGUUUCGAUCCAG
RNAcentral lists this unclassified non-coding RNA (226 nucleotides) under Hevea brasiliensis (rubber tree). Lineage: Eukaryota; Viridiplantae; Streptophyta; Magnoliopsida; Malpighiales; Euphorbiaceae. The record is from RNAcentral.